This 667-nucleotide ribosomal RNA is filed under the name uncultured bacterium. Its description in RNAcentral is "bacterial SSU rRNA". It matches the Rfam family "Bacterial small subunit ribosomal RNA", at positions 125 to 791 of the family's 1533-position model. The record is from RNAcentral.
CCUGCCCUCUGAUGGGGAAUAACCCGCCGAAAGGCGGGCUAAUACCGCAUAACAUUCUUUGGCCCUCGGGCUGGAGAAUCAAAGGCCGCAAGGCCGUCGGAGGAGGGGCCCGCGCCCGAUUAGCUAGUUGGUGAGGUCAUGGCUCACCAAGGCGAUGAUCGGUAGCCGGCCUGAGAGGACGACCGGCCACACUGGAACUGAGACACGGUCCAGACUCCUACGGGAGGCAGCAGUGGGGAAUAUUGCGCAAUGGGCGAAAGCCUGACGCAGCGACGCCGCGUGGGGGAUGAAGCUUCUCGGAGUGUAAACCCCUUUCGGCCCGAACGAAAAAUCCCGCAAGGGGUCUGACGGUACGGGUAUAAGAAGCCCCGGCUAACUACGUGCCAGCAGCCGCGGUAAGACGUAGGGGGCCAGCGUUGCUCGGAAUAACUGGGCGUAAAGGGUUCGUAGGCGGUGUGACAAGUCGGGAGUGAAAUCCUGAGGCUUAACUUCAGGACUGCUUCCGAAACUGUCAUGCUCGAGUGCGGGAGAGGCGAGUGGAAUUGCAGGUGUAGCGGUGAAAUGCGUAGAUAUCUGCAGGAACACCAGUGGCGAAGGCGGCUCGCUGGACCGCAACUGACGCUGAGGAACGAAAGCUAGGGGAGCAAACAGGAUUAGAUACCCUGGU